RNAcentral lists this ribosomal RNA (497 nucleotides) under uncultured bacterium. Its description in RNAcentral is "partial 16S ribosomal RNA". It matches the Rfam family "Bacterial small subunit ribosomal RNA", at positions 28 to 507 of the family's 1533-position model. The record is from RNAcentral.
GAUGAACGCUGGCGGUGUGCCUAAUACAUGCAAGUCGAGCGAACAGACGAGGAGCUUGCUCCUCUGACGUUAGCGGCGGACGGGUGAGUAACACGUGGAUAACCUACCUAUAAGACUGGGAUAACUUCGGGAAACCGGAGCUAAUACCGGAUAAUAUAUUGAACCGCAUGGUUCAAUAGUGAAAGACGGUUUUGCUGUCACUUAUAGAUGGAUCCGCGCCGCAUUAGCUAGUUGGUAAGGUAACGGCUUACCAAGGCAACGAUGCGUAGCCGACCUGAGAGGGUGAUCGGCCACACUGGAACUGAGACACGGUCCAGACUCCUACGGGAGGCAGCAGUAGGGAAUCUUCCGCAAAGGGCGAAAGCCUGACGGAGCAACGCCGCGUGAGUGAUGAAGGUCUUCGGAUCGUAAAACUCUGUUAUUGGGGAAGAACAAAUGUGUAAGUAACUAUGCACGUCUUGACGGUACCUAAUCAGAAAGCCACGGCUAACUACGUG